This is a long non-coding RNA of Oryzias melastigma (Indian medaka), 1219 nucleotides long. RefSeq lists it as uncharacterized. The record is from RefSeq and is a predicted model, not a curated record. Lineage: Eukaryota; Metazoa; Chordata; Actinopteri; Beloniformes; Adrianichthyidae. The transcript is spliced from 3 exons.
CCUGAAGGAACCAAACGGAUCAGAACAUGAGGCCUGCUGGGGUUCACUAAGAGUCUAUUCAGACUGGAAGAGUCUGAUGGUCCAAACUGAGUCCUGAACUUUGUGUGUGGUCUGUAUUCAGACAGCUUUUCAGCCAGACAUUUCUGUUUGCUUGUAAACAAAACCACGUGACUGAGGAUCUCUUCAUUCAUUGGCCAGGAAUUAUGAAGUCGGGGCAAAGCAACAAGAGACAGAGAUGAUGAAAGUCCCCAGCUUUGCGAUCCUUGUCGGGAUAGUUCAAUUAUUCAAACUUUACGUUUUGCUGACCAAUGUCAGGUACAGUGGAGGCAUGGUGUAAGCCGGUUACCGAGGAGACGACGGCUAAGAAGGAUCUUCAGCGGCCACAUUCAUCUUACAGCAUUCAGACAAGUAUUAUUGAAGCCCGUGACCUGAGCUGUGUUUUGGAUUUUGGCCCCUUGUGCGAUUGAGUUCGACACCCCUGCUGUAAAGGCAUGACGUAAGGCCAGCUGGAGGAGGAAACGGGGAGGAGGGGGAGCAGGAGGAAGCAGGACAAACCUGCAAACCCAGGACUGGAGGAGGCGCAGCUUUGACAAAGAGCAGCAGAGAACGUGUUAUGUAAUGACAGAGCCUGCUGCAGAACAGGCAGAGACACACUCCUGCAGAGGGAGAGGGCGCCAGACAGAGCAUCACAAAAGAACGACUCCAGGAACUAAAGCGUGACCCCCCAACAGAGCCCAGCCGAGUCACACAGACAAUGCAAACAGCCCCCUGACUACAGCAGCACCAAGGAAUGCAGCUCAACACAACAACAGGCUGCAAAGAUGGAGUCUGCGAGUGACUCACAUGCGCCCCAGCUGCUGAUGGGGGGGGCAGUGGCUGCUAUAGAAAUGCCGCUACAGACAGUCUGAGCUUGAAGGAGGCUGUCUGCAUCAGGACUCCAGCUGAUGGAGGUUACCACGCUGUAAAGUGUCUCAACAUUCCUUUCAUUCUGACAAAUGACGACUAAAGUAUCUAGAAGCUAAAAUAAUCCCUGAAAAUGACCUGCAAAAGCUGCCAAGUUAAAAGACAGACUCUCCUCUGGGUAUGGAGGCCGUGACUAAAGGUACUUUAAUGAUCCUCAAGAGAGAAUACCUACUGUUAAAUAAACUCUGAUCAUCUAUUUUUGUAGUAUUGGCAGCAUUAACACUGCUGUGUGAAUGGCUGGUAUUAUGAAUAUGAU